CCGACGGUGAGAGACGAAAGCUGGGGGAGCAAACCGGAUUAGGUACCCGGGUAGUCCCAGCCGUAAACGAUGUGCGUUAGGUGUAUCGGUGACCACGAGCCACCGAGGUGCCGAAGAGAAAUCGUGAAACGUACCGCCUGGGAAGUACGGUCGCAAGGCUGAAACUUAAAGGAAUUGGCGGGGGAGCACCACAACAGGUGGAGCCUGCGGUUUAAUCGGACUCAACGCCGGGAAACUCACCAGAUAAGACAGCUGAAUGAUAGUCGGGCUGAAGACUCUACUUGACUAGCUGAGAGGAGGUGCAUGGCCGUCGUCAGUUCGUACUGUGAAGCAUCCUGUUAAGUC
RNAcentral lists this ribosomal RNA (345 nucleotides) under uncultured archaeon. RNAcentral describes it as "bacterial SSU rRNA". It matches the Rfam family "Archaeal small subunit ribosomal RNA", at positions 691 to 1035 of the family's 1478-position model. The record is from RNAcentral.